GGACAGAAACUGCAGGCGCCAGGUCCAGCUCUGUAACUGAGGUUACAAAACAACACAGGUUCCUGCCUCCUAGGAGUUGCCCAGGACUCCCAAGCAGGAAGAUUUUGACCACGUUUGGGAACCCACCCCUCACCUCAGUCACACAGCAUAUCCUAGUAACUGGUCUUGUCACAAAGGACAGGUUGGUGCCCUCAACUCCAGUCCUCACCUUGGUGUGGACUUCCUUCACCUAACCAGGGUCCAGGAAGAUGCAGAAAACCAGGUCAUCAAUGUUAAUAACAGUCCGGUCAUCAAUGUUAAUAACAGUCCAGGCAAGGGCAAAAAGAAUCUGGGGGUCGGCAACCUUGGCCUCCAAACUUCUGAGGAGUUGGGCUGUAGAUAAGAGUACCUCCGGAGAGGCAGGGACUAAUGGGAGAGACAGUGCAAGAGCUCCAGUCUGUGAGUCUUGAGGAGGCUGGAUGAGGCCAGAGGACCCACUUUCCCCAUCUCAGGAACCAGCCAGGCUCCAGCUUUCAGCCAAGCUUGUGAGGGUUCCUGUACCAUAGCAGACCCCAGGCCAAAAGGGAAGGGGUUCACCUGCAGCAGAGAAGCUAGCUGCUUGGUCACCUUGGCCAUGCAGCACAUGCAGGGCUGGGACAUCCUCAGUCACAGGUGAUGCUAAUGCCUCCCCCACCCCACCCCACAAAAUGCCCUUGCCAGAUCUGACUGGCUGCUUCCCACAACAGUGGCAGAACACUUGUAGGGAUGUGAACAGCCCCUGCCAAGCUAGAGGUGCUAGAACCUGACUAGGGAGAUCAAUUUUUCAUAAAGAUUGGAAAUGAGAGGAUUGGUGUGUAUGUGCUGUUUUCUAAUUUUUAUUGUGUGGCAUUGGGGACUAACCCAGGCAAGCAUUCUACCACUGAGCUAUAUUGCC
This 913-nucleotide long non-coding RNA is filed under the name Marmota monax (woodchuck). Lineage: Eukaryota; Metazoa; Chordata; Mammalia; Rodentia; Sciuridae. The record is from RNAcentral.